AGCAGCCGCCGCGGUAAUCCGAAGGGGGCUAGCGUUGUUCGGAUUUACUGGGCGUAAAGGGCGCGUAGGCGGACUGAUAAGUCAGGGGUGAAAUCCCAAGGCUCAACCUUGGAACUGCCUUUGAUACUGUUUGUCUUGAGUUCGAGAGAGGUAAGUGGAACUGCGAGUGUAGAGGUGAAAUUCGUAGAUAUUCGCAAGAACACCAGUGGCGAAGGCGGCUUACUGGCUCGAAACUGACGCUGAGGCGCGAAAGCGUGGGGAGCAAACAGGAUUAGAUACCCCUGUAGUCCCUGUCUCUUAUAC
Molecule: ribosomal RNA, 303 nt
Filed under: uncultured bacterium
Lineage: Bacteria
Description: partial 16S ribosomal RNA
Rfam family: Bacterial small subunit ribosomal RNA
Source: RNAcentral